Molecule: RNA transcript, 2252 nt
Organism: Mangifera indica (mango)
Lineage: Eukaryota; Viridiplantae; Streptophyta; Magnoliopsida; Sapindales; Anacardiaceae
Gene name: GTPase HflX
Exons: 14
Source: RefSeq, a predicted model, not a curated record
GUUAAAACGGCGAUGUAUUGGCAGAGACUCAACUUUCCAGAGUGGAGAGUCACCACUGAAAGCAAAAUUCUAUCAUGAACUUGAGCUUCGGUUCUUUCACAUGUCUAUCACCUCAUAUUCACGAACUCAACUUUCAAUGGAAUUCGAGCCAUAAUCGAUCAAACUUUUCUCUCGGUCUACUUACAAACACCACCACCAACACUUCGUCGAGAUUAAUCGCUAGAGUUCUUGAACAAGGCCUCGAAGUUGUCUCCCCCGACACCGACGCCUCUUUGCGAAGCCGCCCUGUAGUCGACACAAAAGAAGAGGCCGGUGGAGCUCUAAAUGGACUCGCAGGGACUGAACAAGAGGCUAAAACAGUAAAAUCGCCAAAUAGACUUACGAAGAAGAGAGACGACGAGGAAAGUUCUAAUAUCAGGUUCAAGUUGCGAAAUGGAAAAGAGGUAUUUGAAGAAAGAGCCUAUCUUGUGGGUGUUGAGCGCAAAGGUGAUAAAGAGAAUUUGUUUGAUAUAGAGGAGUCUCUCGAGGAACUGGGCCAGCUGGCUGACACUGCUGGUUUAAUGGUUGUUGGUUCCACGUAUCAAAAGCUAACUUCACCAAACCCAAGGACGUACAUUGGAUCUGGCAAGGUUGCUGAAAUUAAGAGUGCAAUUCAUGUUUUUGGGGUUGAGACUGUAAUAUUUGAUGAUGAGCUUUCAGCAGGGCAGUUACGCAAUUUGGAAAAGGCUUUGGGUGGAGAUGUUAGAGUAUGUGAUCGCACUGCCCUUAUCCUGGAUAUUUUCAACCAGCGAGCAGCAACACAUGAAGCAGCUUUACAGGUUGCACUGGCACAAAUGGAAUACCAAUUACCUCGGUUGACUAGAAUGUGGACUCAUCUUGAACGUCAAGCAGGAGGACAGGUGAAGGGUAUGGGUGAGAAACAAAUUGAAGUGGACAAACGUAUCUUACGUAAUCAAAUUGGGGUUCUCAGAAAAGAGCUAGAAUCUGUUAGAAAACAUCGAAAGCAAUACCGGAACCGGCGCACUUCUGUACCUGUCCCUGUAGUGUCAUUGGUUGGGUACACAAAUGCUGGAAAGAGCACACUUUUAAAUCGAUUAACUGGAGCUAAUGUUCUUGCUGAGGAUCAAUUAUUUGCAACCCUUGAUCCAACUACAAGAAGAGUUCAGAUGAAAAAUGGCAAGGAGUUUCUUCUUACAGAUACUGUUGGGUUUAUUCAGAAGUUACCAACUACCUUGGUGGCUGCCUUCAGAGCAACUUUGGAGGAGAUAUCAGAGUCAUCACUUUUAGUGCAUGUGGUAGACAUCAGCCAUCCCCUGGCACAGCAACAGAUACAUGCUGUGGACAAAGUUCUGUCAGAGCUAGAUGUGUCAUCAAUUCCGAAGUUAAUGGUGUGGAACAAGGUUGAUAGGGUGAGUGAUCCUCAAAAGAUCAAGUUGGAAGCUGAGAAAAUGAAAGAUGUUGUGUGCAUAUCUGCUUUGAGCGGUAGUGGAUUAGAUGAAUUCUGCAAUGCAGUUCAGGAAAAAUUGAAGGAUUCUAUGGUCUGGGUGGAAGCAUUGGUCCCAUUUGACAAAGGCGAGCUUCUCAGUACGGUACAUCAAGUUGGAAUGGUGGAGAGAACUGAAUAUACAGAAAAUGGGACAUUAGUGAAGGCACAUGUUCCCCUUCGUUUUGCAAGGUUGCUGACACCGAUGAGACAGAUGUGUUUAUCAUGAUUCCCAACUUUAUUAGUCAAUAUCAUUUUUCAUUCUAUUGUUAUUGCACCAAUCCUUCAUGAAUGUAUGAUAAUGAAUCUUUUGGGCAAAUGCUUACUAUUUUUCCAGAGACAGGGAGAGUAAGGAAGCUCUGUGUUUUCUUGACAAUUUACUAAUUUGCUAUGAGCUACCCCGUUCUAGCCCAAGUUCUCCAGUGAAAUGUUCAAGGCUCAAAGCGGGACAUAUAGGAUCUCUGCAUGAUGCUGAGCCUCGUUGAGCUGGAGGAAACUGGAGCAGUGCAAUAUUGGAGCCGGUUAAACUGAGACCCUUUGUAUGACCACUGCAGUAGACAUACCGUCGGUGCUAUGAGGCUUUUGGGUUUAUUAUGGUAGUAGGUUAACAAAGGGGUGGAUUUAAUUCGAACGGUUAGUGCAUGAAUCGUUGUAUGGCUUGAUUUGAAUGGAGCUUGUGUCAUUGGCAAUUAUUUUCUUUUUCACUUUUCUUUUGUAUACAAAUGAUUAUUCUUUUUCAAUGAUUCAAAUGAGUCGAAUUCGAUCUCAA